GUGCUGACUUUGGCAGCACAUAUACUAAAAUUGGGAUGAUACAGAGAAGAUUAGCAUGGCUCUUGCACAAGGAUGACACACAAAUUGUGAAGUGUUCUGUAUUUUU
Molecule: small nuclear RNA, 106 nt
Organism: Jaculus jaculus (lesser Egyptian jerboa)
Lineage: Eukaryota; Metazoa; Chordata; Mammalia; Rodentia; Dipodidae
Source: Ensembl